AGGGGUAGUCGGGUGGUCGUUCGCCUUUCGGCGAAAGGAAAGUCCGGACUCCUGCAGGGAAGAUGGCUCCUAACAGGAGCAGUCCGUAAGAACUGGAAAGUGCCACAGAAAUUAUACCUCCCAUCAAUACAUAGGUGGGAAAGGGUGAAAUGGCGAGGUAAGGGCUCACCGUCCAGCAGGUAACUGCUGAAGCAAAGGUAAACCCCAUCUGGAGCAAGGUCAAGUAGAACCUCAGGGUCCCUGCCCCAACAGGUUCGGGUUGACUGCUUGAACCUGAAGGCAACUUCAGGUCCAGAUGAAUGACCACUAGAACAGAAUCCGGCUUAUGAACUACCCCUUUUA
RNAcentral lists this RNase P RNA (342 nucleotides) under bacterium. RNAcentral describes it as "RNase P RNA component class A". It matches the Rfam family "Bacterial RNase P class A". Rfam says of the family: Ribonuclease P (RNase P) is a ubiquitous endoribonuclease, found in archaea, bacteria and eukarya as well as chloroplasts and mitochondria. Its best characterised activity is the generation of mature 5'-ends of tRNAs by cleaving the 5'-leader elements of precursor-tRNAs. The record is from RNAcentral.